CCUGAGAAACCCGAAAGAUCGAACGGGGAGAUUCACCGUCAGCGACGUCGGCUUUUCGGCGGUUCGUGAUGCGCGCGGCGUCCUUCGGGCGUCCGCGUCGCACGCGUCCGUUGUGUCUCCAUGUCCGGCGGCGUCGGCGUGCACUUCUCCCCUAGUAGGACGUCGCGACCCGUUGGGUGUCGGUCUACGGCUUGGGCUGUCGACUGUCACGGACGUUUCGGCGUCGCGUGGCAGACACCCAGUCGCCCGACCGGCUGCCCGGCGGUACUCGCACGGUAUCUGGCCGCAAUCGAACUGCGUCUCAGGCCCGCCGCAAGCGUGGUCAGUGUCACCGGGGUGUGCGGACCUAGCGCCGUUCCUCCGGGCCUGACCCGUUGUUAGCCGACGGUGUCCUCUGACAGGCCGUAUAUCUCACGAUAUGUGAUACCGGUCGGCGACGCUACUGCUUUGGGUACUUUCAGG
RNAcentral lists this ribosomal RNA (462 nucleotides) under Semaeomyia sp. 279. RNAcentral describes it as "eukaryotic LSU rRNA". Lineage: Eukaryota; Metazoa; Arthropoda; Insecta; Hymenoptera; Evaniidae. The record is from RNAcentral.